UAGGGAAUCUUCCACAAUGGACGCAAGUCUGAUGGAGCAACGCCGCGUGAGUGGAGAAGGUCUUCGGAUCGUAAAACUCUGUUGUUAGAGAAGAACACGAGUGAGAGUAACUGUUCAUUCGAUGACGGUAUCUAACCAGCAAGUCACGGCUAACUACGUGCAAG
Molecule: ribosomal RNA, 164 nt
Filed under: uncultured bacterium
Lineage: Bacteria
Description: partial 16S rRNA
Rfam family: Bacterial small subunit ribosomal RNA
Source: RNAcentral